Molecule: ribosomal RNA, 326 nt
Filed under: uncultured eukaryote
Lineage: Eukaryota
Description: partial 18S ribosomal RNA
Rfam family: Eukaryotic small subunit ribosomal RNA
Source: RNAcentral
CCCUUAGAUGUUCUGGGCCGCACGCGCGCUACACUGAUGCAUUCAACGAGCCUAGCCUUGACCGGGAGGUCCGGGUAAUCUUUGAAACUGCAUCGUGAUGGGGCUAGAUUAUUGCAAUUAUUAAUCUUCAACGAGGAAUGCCUAGUAAGCGUGAUUCAUCAAAUCGCGUUGAUUACGUCCCUGCCCUUUGUACACACCGCCCGUCGCUCCUACCGAUUGAGUGUGUUGGUGAGGAGUUUGGAUUGGCCUCGGAAGGUGGUUCGCCACCGUCCGUAGCUGAGAAGUUCUCCAAACCGCCCCACUUAGAGGAAGGAGAAGUCGUAACA